This 1522-nucleotide ribosomal RNA is filed under the name Escherichia coli NCCP 15656. Its description in RNAcentral is "bacterial SSU rRNA". It matches the Rfam family "Bacterial small subunit ribosomal RNA". Lineage: Bacteria; Pseudomonadati; Pseudomonadota; Gammaproteobacteria; Enterobacterales; Enterobacteriaceae. The record is from RNAcentral.
AGAGUUUGAUCAUGGCUCAGAUUGAACGCUGGCGGCAGGCCUAACACAUGCAAGUCGAACGGUAACAGGAAACAGCUUGCUGUUUCGCUGACGAGUGGCGAACGGGUGAGUAAUGUCUGGGAAACUGCCUGAUGGAGGGGGAUAACUACUGGAAACGGUAGCUAAUACCGCAUAACGUCGCAAGACCAAAGAGGGGGACCUUCGGGCCUCUUGCCAUCGGAUGUGCCCAGAUGGGAUUAGCUUGUUGGUGGGGUAACGGCUCACCAAGGCGACGAUCCCUAGCUGGUCUGAGAGGAUGACCAGCCACACUGGAACUGAGACACGGUCCAGACUCCUACGGGAGGCAGCAGUGGGGAAUAUUGCACAAUGGGCGCAAGCCUGAUGCAGCCAUGCCGCGUGUAUGAAGAAGGCCUUCGGGUUGUAAAGUACUUUCAGCGGGGAGGAAGGGAGUAAAGUUAAUACCUUUGCUCAUUGACGUUACCCGCAGAAGAAGCACCGGCUAACUCCGUGCCAGCAGCCGCGGUAAUACGGAGGGUGCAAGCGUUAAUCGGAAUUACUGGGCGUAAAGCGCACGCAGGCGGUUUGUUAAGUCAGAUGUGAAAUCCCCGGGCUCAACCUGGGAACUGCAUCUGAUACUGGCAAGCUUGAGUCUCGUAGAGGGGGGUAGAAUUCCAGGUGUAGCGGUGAAAUGCGUAGAGAUCUGGAGGAAUACCGGUGGCGAAGGCGGCCCCCUGGACGAAGACUGACGCUCAGGUGCGAAAGCGUGGGGAGCAAACAGGAUUAGAUACCCUGGUAGUCCACGCCGUAAACGAUGUCGACUUGGAGGUUGUGCCCUUGAGGCGUGGCUUCCGGAGCUAACGCGUUAAGUCGACCGCCUGGGGAGUACGGCCGCAAGGUUAAAACUCAAAUGAAUUGACGGGGGCCCGCACAAGCGGUGGAGCAUGUGGUUUAAUUCGAUGCAACGCGAAGAACCUUACCUGGUCUUGACAUCCACGGAAGUUUUCAGAGAUGAGAAUGUGCCUUCGGGAACCGUGAGACAGGUGCUGCAUGGCUGUCGUCAGCUCGUGUUGUGAAAUGUUGGGUUAAGUCCCGCAACGAGCGCAACCCUUAUCCUUUGUUGCCAGCGGUCCGGCCGGGAACUCAAAGGAGACUGCCAGUGAUAAACUGGAGGAAGGUGGGGAUGACGUCAAGUCAUCAUGGCCCUUACGACCAGGGCUACACACGUGCUACAAUGGCGCAUACAAAGAGAAGCGACCUCGCGAGAGCAAGCGGACCUCAUAAAGUGCGUCGUAGUCCGGAUUGGAGUCUGCAACUCGACUCCAUGAAGUCGGAAUCGCUAGUAAUCGUGGAUCAGAAUGCCACGGUGAAUACGUUCCCGGGCCUUGUACACACCGCCCGUCACACCAUGGGAGUGGGUUGCAAAAGAAGUAGGUAGCUUAACCUUCGGGAGGGCGCUUACCACUUUGUGAUUCAUGACUGGGGUGAAGUCGUAACAAGGUAACCGUAGGGGAACCUGCGGUUG